GAUGAACGCUGGCGGCGUGCUUAACACAUGCAAGUCGAACGGUGAAGGCGGAGCUUGCUCUGCUGGAUCAGUGGCGAACGGGUGAGUAACACGUGAGCAAUCUGCCCCUGACUCUGGGAUAAGCGCUGGAAACGGCGUCUAAUACUGGAUACGAGCUGCGAAGGCAUCUUCAGCAGCUGGAAAGAAUUUCGGUCAGGGAUGAGCUCGCGGCCUAUCAGCUUGUUGGUGAGGUAAUGCUCACCAAGGCGUCGACGGGUAGCCGGCCUGAGAGGGUGACCGGCCACACUGGGACUGAGACACGGCCCAGACUCCUACGGGAGGCAGCAGUGGGGAAUAUUGCACAAUGGGCGAAAGCCUGAUGCAGCAACGCCGCGUGAGGGACGACGGCCUUCGGGUUGUAAACCUCUUUUAGCAGGGAAGAAGCGAAAGUGACGGUACCUGCAGAAAAAGCGCCGGCUAACUACGUG
Molecule: ribosomal RNA, 467 nt
Filed under: uncultured bacterium
Lineage: Bacteria
Description: partial 16S ribosomal RNA
Rfam family: Bacterial small subunit ribosomal RNA
Source: RNAcentral